RNAcentral lists this ribosomal RNA (460 nucleotides) under uncultured bacterium. RNAcentral describes it as "partial 16S ribosomal RNA". It matches the Rfam family "Bacterial small subunit ribosomal RNA", at positions 338 to 795 of the family's 1533-position model. The record is from RNAcentral.
CCUACGGGGUGCAGCAGUGAGGAAUAUUGGUCAAUGGACGAGAGUCUGAACCAGCCAAGUAGCGUGAAGGAUGACUGCCCUAUGGGUUGUAAACUGCUUUUAUACGGGAAUCAAACGAGUCACGUGUACCUUUUUGCAUGUACUUUAUGAAUAAGGAUCGGCUAAUUCCGUGCCAGCAGCCGCGGUAAUACGGAGGAUCCGAGCGUUAUCCGGAUUUAUUGGGUUUAAAGGGAGCGUAGAUGGGUUGUUAAGUCAGUUGUGAAAGUUUGGGGCUCAACCGUAAAAUUGCAAUUGAUACUGGCAGUCUUGAGUACAGUGGAGGUAGGCGGAAUUCGUGGUGUAGCGGUGAAAUGCUUAGAUAUGACGAAGAACCCCGAUUGCGAAGGCAGCUUACUAAACUGUGACUGACAUUGAUGCUCGAAAGUGCGGGUAUCAAACAGGAUUAGAUACCCUAGUAGUC